Molecule: ribosomal RNA, 254 nt
Filed under: uncultured bacterium
Lineage: Bacteria
Description: partial small subunit ribosomal RNA
Rfam family: Bacterial small subunit ribosomal RNA
Source: RNAcentral
AGGACGAACGCUGGCGGCGUGCUUAACACAUGCAAGUCGAGCGGAAAGGCCCUUCGGGGUACUCGAGCGGCGAACGGGUGAGUAACACGUGAGUAAUCUGCCCCUAGCUCUGGGAUAGCUCCGGGAAACCGGGAUUAAUACCGGAUACGACCACCUUAGACAUCUUUUGUGGUGGAAAGAAUUUCGGCUAGGGAUGAGCUCGCGGCCUAUCAGCUUGUUGGUGGGGUAACGGCCUACCAAGGCGACGACGGGUA